UACGGGGGGAGCAAGCGUUGUUCGGAUUUACUGGGCGUAAAGGGCGCGUAGGCGGCCACUGCAAGUCGGUUGUGAAAUCUCCGGGCUUAACCCGGAAAGGUCAAUCGAUACUGCAGGGCUAGAGUGCAGAAGGGGCAACUGGAAUUCUCGGUGUAGCGGUGAAAUGCGUAGAUAUCGAGAGGAACACCUGCGGCGAAGGCGGCUCACUGGCCCGGUACUGACGCUGAGGUGCGAAAGCGUGGGGAGCAAACAGG
This 254-nucleotide ribosomal RNA is filed under the name uncultured bacterium. Its description in RNAcentral is "partial 16S ribosomal RNA". It matches the Rfam family "Bacterial small subunit ribosomal RNA", at positions 524 to 776 of the family's 1533-position model. The record is from RNAcentral.